RNAcentral lists this long non-coding RNA (1114 nucleotides) under Dasypus novemcinctus (nine-banded armadillo). RNAcentral's name for it is "lncRNA (ENSDNOG00000052477.1)". The record is from RNAcentral. Lineage: Eukaryota; Metazoa; Chordata; Mammalia; Cingulata; Dasypodidae.
AGAAGAUUCUAGAUCUUUACACCAUAUUGACAUCAUCAUUUGUUGAACUCCCCAAGUAACAGCACAAUCUGUUAAUAAUGUAGAAUAAAAUUUAUAAGAACUCAUAGCAGCGAGGUAGAAUACUACCUUGACAGAAUCUUGGCAAUACCUCAAAAGGGGGAAGUGAGAAUGGAUAUUUAGAGAGUGUUAAGGUUUGGGCAGGUCUUGAUUGAGAUUGGGUAAAAUUUGUGACACAAGAGUUUAGGAUUGGUGAACAGAGUAUGGUGAGUGUCUUAAGGCAGGAUUUGAUAAACUAUUAUUUGACAAGUGAGCUCUUUGCCCCAGUAACAAGACUAUCAUUUCAGAUAAAUCAAUUUGCAAGAAAAUCUUGAAGGAAAUAAUAUUUAUUGGCUUACAGACUUAACUUUCCUAGCAAAGUUUUUGAGGAACAAACCAUUAAGUCAUGUUAACAUAAAUGGUCUCAGUUCUCACUUUUCAUUUUUCAUAUAUCUCUGGUUUCUCUUUUCCCAAAGACUGAGAAUUACAAGUCCAAGGGGGAUAACAUAUUACAGGUUCUAUAUCUUGAAACUUUCAAGAAUGAUCAGGCUUCAGUUCUUUCAUGUUAGCAAAUUAUUCUUUUAUCAGAUAUGGCAUAAUUUGGAUGGUGGGAUCAAUUCUAUUUGUACUGUAAAAGGUAAGCCCUUGUCCAAAUUAAUAUUUAUAUUUGUUAAUUGCCUGUGUACAAAUUAUAUUUGUAAUUGGCCCGUGACUCUACUGGUUUGAUUUCUAUUGCUCAUUAUUCAUUUCUUCUUCUAGGGAACAGGUGGCCAGAGGUUUGGCCAUCCUUUGAUAUUCAGAAAUGAGGCUAAAGGGAAAUCAUCUCCAUUUCUUCUGUUAAGAUGAUAAGUAUGACAGGGAUAUUGAAUCAGCAGUGACAGCAUGAAUAAAAAGAAACCAUCAAAUAUGCUUAUUGACAACAUGACCUCAGACAAGUCACUUAAGCUCUCUGAACCUCAAACUCUUCAUAUCUAAAUGGAGAUAAUGAUUUUAUCUUAAGACUGUUACGAGGAGUAUGAAAAAAAGAUACAUAAAAAACAUUGGCCAGAGCACUUGGUACAUAGUCUCUACAUGAUAG